UACGGAGGGUGCAAGCGUUAAUCGGAAUUACUGGGCGUAAAGGGUGCGUAGGUGGUUAAUUAAGUUAUCUGUGAAAUCCCUGGGCUCAACCUGGGCAGGUCAGAUAAUACUGAUUGACUCGAGUAUAGGAGAGGGUAGUGGAAUUUCCGGUGUAGCGGUGAAAUGCGUAGAGAUCGGAAGGAACACCAGUGGCGAAGGCGGCUACCUGGCCUAAUACUGACACUGAGGCACGAAAGCGUGGGGAGCAAACAGG
This 253-nucleotide ribosomal RNA is filed under the name uncultured bacterium. RNAcentral describes it as "partial 16S ribosomal RNA". It matches the Rfam family "Bacterial small subunit ribosomal RNA", at positions 524 to 776 of the family's 1533-position model. RNAcentral also lists the same sequence under 1 other name. The record is from RNAcentral.